UAGUGGCGGACGGGUGAGUAACGCGUAAGAACCUACCUUUAGGCGGGGGACAACAAUUGGAAACGAUUGCUAAUACCCCAUAAGCUGAGGAGUAAAAGGAAUACUAUUCUGUCUAAAGAUGGGCUUGCGUCUGAUUAGCUUGUUGGUGAGGUAAUUGCUUACCAAGGCAACGAUCAGUAGCUGGUCUGAGAGGAUGAUCAGCCACACUGGGACUGAGACACGGCCCAGACUUCUACGGAAGGCAGCAGUGAGGAAUUUUCCGCAAUGGGCGAAAGCCUGACGGAGCAAUGCCGCGUGGAGGAUGACAGCCUGUGGGUCGUAAACUCCUUUUCUCAGAGAAGAAGUUCUGACGGUA
Molecule: ribosomal RNA, 355 nt
Filed under: uncultured bacterium
Lineage: Bacteria
Description: bacterial SSU rRNA
Rfam family: Bacterial small subunit ribosomal RNA
Source: RNAcentral